Molecule: ribosomal RNA, 608 nt
Filed under: uncultured bacterium
Lineage: Bacteria
Description: bacterial SSU rRNA
Rfam family: Bacterial small subunit ribosomal RNA
Source: RNAcentral
GGGCCCGCACAAGCAGCGGAGCAUGUGGUUUAAUUCGAAGCAACGCGAAGAACCUUACCUAGACUUGACAUCUCAUGAAUAGCGUAGAGAUACGUGAAGCCCUUCGGGGCAGGAAGACAGGUGGUGCAUGGUUGUCGUCAGCUCGUGUCGUGAGAUGUUGGGUUAAGUCCCGCAACGAGCGCAACCCUUAUCAUUAGUUGCUACCAUUAAGUUGAGCACUCUAGUGAGACUGCCCGGGUUAACCGGGAGGAAGGCGGGGGAUGACGUCAAAUCAUCAUGCCCCUUAUGUCUAGGGCUACACACGUGCUACAAUGGUGAGAACAACGAGAUGCAAUACCGCGAGGUGGAGCCAAACUUGAAAACUCAUCCCAGUUCGGAUUGUAGGCUGAAAUUCGCCUACAUGAAGUUGGAGUUGCUAGUAAUCGCGAAUCAGAAUGUCGCGGUGAAUACGUUCCCGGGCCUUGUACACACCGCCCGUCACACCAUGAGAGCUGGUAACACCCGAAGUCCGUGAGGUAACCUUUAUGGGGCCAGCGGCCGAAGGUGGGAUUAGUGAUUGGGGUGAAGUCGUANCAAGGUAGCCGUAGGAGAACCUGCGGCUGGAUCAC